GUGUUGGGGCUGGUGGUUGCAGACUUGGUGUUGAGAAGAGGCAGGAAAGCUCUUCGAGGAUGCGAAGGAGGGGAGGACAGGCAGAGCAAAGUGUUGGAACCUGAGCCGUGAGCCAUUAUCUUAAAUGUUAAACGGAUUUUAAAAAACCUGUAGGAGGAGAGGCCUAGGGAUUUUCUUUUGUUAUGAUUUCCUAGGACUUCAAGUUUCUGCCAUCCCUAAGUGUGAAAGUGGAAUAGGAGUGCUCUGCAGAUAUUUGUCUCCCAGAAAGAGGAAGGCCUUUGAAGAGACGAAGUCAGUGCAGAUCUGAUGCUCUAACAGCCCUGAUUACUUCAUAGGGGAAGAAGGCUAGCAUCUCUAGUAAACGGAAUACCAUUAGCUUCAAAGUAUAGAUACUGGAGGGGGGGCAGAACAGCACUGUCUGAUAGAACUUUCUACAGAUGGAAAUGUCUCUGAGCUGUGCCACAUAGCACUGAGCACCUGAAAUGUGAUCUGCGCAAAUAAGGAACUGAACUUAAAAAAAUUUCUUUUUUGUGAUGAAUUAACCACAUUUACUUCGCAAACUGAACUUUUUGAUUUUAUGAGUUUUAGCUGCUUGUCGCCAGUGGCUUCUGCAUGGCACAGCACGGUUUUGGAUGAUAAACCUUGUGCGUGGAUACCCUGUGGAUAAGGUCACAGCCCUGUUUGCUCUGUGGAUUCCUGUUUUGUCUGCCUGCCUGUGGCUUGUGUUAGUGACCUGUCUCACCCACAGAUGCUUAGUUCAUGGUAAAGAUCUGCACCUGCAGGGAGCCCUGGCGCAGGAUGGAGGAACAGUGGGAAGCGAGCGCCAGGGCCCCUUAGUAUCUCGAGGAGAGCCAUGAAUUUCGUAGCAGGGGACACACAGUGCCUCCUCCCGGUGGUGCUGCUGAUGUCUGAGUGGCUAGUGUCCCUUUCUUAUGCCCCUUGUCUGCUAGCAUGUUCAGUUCCUUUUUAAGAAAAAUUUUAUUGGAGUAUAGUUGGCUUACAGUGUUGUGUAAGUUUCACCAAAGUGAAUCAGUUUCACAUGUAGUUAUAUUUAUGUCCAUCUUUCUCAGAUUCUUUUCCAUGUAGGCCAUCGCAGAGUAUUGAGUAGAUUUCCCUGUGCUAUGCAGUAGGUCCUUGUUGCUUACCAAUGUUUAAAUAGUGGUGUGUAUGUGUUGGUCUCAACCUCUCAAUUUAUCCCUCCCCCAACGCGGGAUCCGAGCCGCGUCUGCAACCUACACCACAGCUCACGGCAACGCCGGAUCGUUAACCCACUGAGCAAGGGCAGGGAUCGAACCCGCAACCUCAUGGUUCCUAGUCGGAUUCGUUAACCACUGCGCCAUGACGGGAACUCCCUGUUUUGUUCUUUUUUAUGGCUGAGUAAUAUUCCAUUGUACAUAUGUACCACAUCUUCUUGAUCCAUUCAUUGGUCAAUGGACAUUUAGCUUGUUUCCAUGUCUUGGCUGUUGUGGAUAGUGCUGCAGUGAACAUAGGGUUGCAUGUAUCUUUUUGAAUUAUAGUUUUUGUCCUGGAGUAGGAUUGCUGGAUCAGAUGAUAGUUCUGUGUUUAGUUUUCUAAGGAACUGCCAUACUAUUUUCCAUAGUGGUUGUACCAGUUUACAUUCCCACCAGCAGAGUAGGAGGGUUCCCUUUUCUCCACACCCUCUCCAGCAUUUGUUAUUUGUAGACUUAAUGAUGGCCGUUCUGGGGACUCUCUGUUUCUAAUCCUGAAUCACUUUCUCCUUACAUUUUUUGGGGGUGAGCUGAGCUGCCCUGUAUUUACUCCUGCCAGUGUCUUGUUCUCUGGUCACAGAAGAGUGCUGUAUUUAUUAUACUGAGCUUUAAGUGUGCUCAGUGGCCCAAAUGGCUCUUUUCUUUAAAGCCAAGUACAACAUUUCAAUUAAAAUAUCAUGCACACGUCAGCUCACCUUGUGCUGUGCAGGUGUUUGGUCCAGUGUCUGAGGAUUUUGGAGGACCUCCCUCAGACGUCCAGCCAGUGCCCUCGUUCUGAGUGUGCUGUGAAAGCCCAGUGUCCUCAGGUACACGCACACAUGGCUCUGAGCCCGAGGGCUUCUUGGGAGGCCCCUGUGGAACAGAGCACAGGUUUCUCCUUCCCUCUUGUCCCGCUGUCCCUGUGGAGGGCACAGACUGGCACGGGUCGGUCAGAAAGGAGAGCGCCGGUGGGGAUGGCUGCGGGGAUGGGCAUGGGAGUGGGUCCCGGGUGUCGCGGCAGGAGCCGGUGUGUGUCAGAGCACCGUGUAAGUGGUAGGCACGCUCUGACUACAGAGUAGGCUUCACUCAGGAGUGUUUGGAGCACGUUUGAAGGGAGAGCGAGCUGUCUGCAGGUGGAGACGAAAGAGUGUUCCAGGCUGAGGGAGCAGCGGAAGCUAAGAGGGAGGUGUGAGGCCUUGGGGUCAUCAUGGGGUAGGGGUGACAUGGAGACGAGGGGAGCGAGGGGAGCUGGUCGGGCAUUGAACUCCCUGCCAGAGAGAGGGAGUAUUAAUACAUGAUUUUAUUUGUCAUAUAUAUGCAUUUUAUACAUGCGAUAUACAUUUAUACAACGUGUGUGAUAUGUGUACAUAUAUUUGUCUUUUUUAAAUUUAAAAAUUUUUCAUCUUGUAUUUUUUUGUCUUUUGUCCUUUUAGGGCCACACCCGUGGCAUAUGGAGGUUCCCGGACUAGGGGUCUGAUAGGAGCUGUAGCCGCUGGCCUAGGCCACGGCCACAGCAACACGGGAUCCGUGCCGUGUCUGCAACCUUCACCACAGCUCACGGCAGCGCCGGAUCCUUGACCCACUCAGCGAGGCCAGGGAUCGAACCCGCAACCUCAUGGUUCCUAGUCAGAUUUGUUUCUCCUGUGCCAGGCAGGGAACUCCCUAUUUAUGUCUUUGAAAAAUAUUUUUGGGAGCCUGUAGGAAGAACAUAUGGUCAUCAGUUCUCUAAGUCUCUGUUUUCAUAUUUAUAAAACGGUAGAAAUAAGAAUGCCUCUGUUUAUCUCCUGAGUUGUUAUCAGAUUGAACAGUCUGUGUGACAGUGCUCGGGGGCUAUGGACAGUCAGCUGUGAGCUGAGACUUCGCACUGCCUCUAACACUGACUCCACCUCUCCUCCUGAGGAGCAAGAACCCUGAGUGUUUGUGGGGCACCUGCUGUCCGGCGACAAAGUGGCAUCAUUUCCCUGUCCCCUUGUACUGUGGCUGGUGACAAAGAUUUGGCUAUUGAGGAGGAAGUGUGGUUUGCUGUUUCUGAGAGGCUUUUGUGGUGGGGACCUGCUUCCCCUCAUUGGCUGGAGCUUAUAGUAGCCGUCUGGGACCACAAGAUUAAGGGACAUACCUGGGGCUGGGCGCCUGGAAAGACCUUGGGCCCCGCAACUCGGUGUGAGCAAGAAACAUAUUUGAGUAUUGGUUAAGCCAUGGGCAAUUUGGGGUUUCUGUUCUGAUCAAUUGAAGUCAGUCUUAAGGGAGCCAGCUUAUGUUACAUAGUAACACAAAUUUGAAAUCAUUAAUGGUUUGAUUUAAUGAAAGAUUGUUGAUAAAAUUAGGACAGUUUAAUCAGUAAAAACUGCUUAGAUUUCCACAGAUAACUCACACUCUCACAAUGGCUUCUGCUACACUGCUCACUGGGAUUAGAAUGGUAGAAUUCUUAGUCCUUUGGGCUGUUUCAGCAUCUGUCAUGGGUUAAAUUGUGUCUUCCCCAGAGAUAGGUUCCAGUCCCCGUACCUGUGAAUGUUACCUUAUUGGGAAACAGGGUCUUUGCAGGUGUAAGACUCUCCAGUGAGAAUAUCCUGGUAUCAGAGUGGACCCUCCAUCUGAUGACCACUGUCCUUAGAGGGAGGUCUGAGAGAAAACCCACGGGGACCCACAGGGAUGCACCUGUCAGCAGCAUGUUACUUACUGCCCGGUGCUGGCUUCUAUGUGGUGUGUGCUGUGAGGAGUCCUGGACGUGGAUGAUGCUUUAGUGUUUAACUGAAGUCUCCUUGAGGAACUUAGGCCAAAUGACGAAAUUAGAAGUUUGGGUUUGGCCAACGCCUUGGAGUAGAUAGUGGCUUCGUCAGCAUCUUUUUUUCUCAGGUCCUUCUCAUAACAGUCUUUGUUUUCCUCUUUCCAGGCCUGUCUUUGACCCGAGGGGGUUCUGGGGCAGAAUGCUUUGCUGUGGGCCCAGGCAGCUUGUGACAGGUGCUGCCCUCAGGCAGAAAGUCUCUUCGGGCCCUGCUGCCUUUUUCUCGGGAACCUGCAUGACUGGAGGCUGGACUGCCUAUACUGCAGCUUGAAAGAUGUUCUGAUCCAGCAGCUGCCCUGUGGGCCCCAGGAUUCUGAGGCGGCUUCACACAUGGGAAGUGGGCCUGGAAUACAGUAGGGGAUGUGGCUCCCUCCUCCCCACAACCAGAAACUAGUUUCUUAUUGUUUUAUAGAUGUGGCUUUUGAGAACAGUUGAAAUUUAAAGUCACCAAUCAAUGCAGUAGCUAAUACUGUGAGAUGAAAUACUGUGAGAGGAAAAACCGAGGUCAUGUGGCCCAUUAGUGGGACAUCAGGCUGGAAUUUGCUCUCUUAAAACAGGGUUCUGUUUUUUUUCUGUUAAGGCUUUAUUUGAUCCAAACCCCUAAGUAAUUGAGAUGUUGUCAGCAAAACACCCAUUUCCUAUUUCUGAGUUUUUCAGGAAGAAUGGAAGCAAACAUUUUUCAUAAUAGAGACCCCAGGUCAGGGGUCUUUCUCUGUAAGGUCAAGGUCAGCAGGUGUGGGGUGGGGCCAGCAGGAAGGAGAGGAAGGAGGGGCUGGGAUGUGUCUUCUCACCCAGGCUGUGCCUGACAGCUCACACCCCGUGGUUAAUUCCUGAUCACAAGGCCUCACUGGUUGAAGGCGAGGCUGGUGAACGUGGUCUUUGUGUGGACGGCACGUGCCCUGCUGAUGUCUGAGGUUUCUGUUACUCCAGAAAGAAGAGAAUGGACACGGGGCAGGCUUGGGGUGGGGGCAGUAGCCUCCUCUACAGAGCAUCAGGGUUUUAAGUCUGUUCCUUCUGUUUUACUAUUGUUCACUGAAGAAAGGAGUUGGGGUAGCACGAUAUAGUAACUACUAGAAGGAAUUUAAAAAAAAUGGCUUUAGUAUGUUGAGCCCUCCGUUUCUUUGGAUAUAAUACAGCAUUUUUAAAUUCCACGUGCCCCAUCUCUGUUCACGAGUAGAAGAAAAUAUUCAGUAAACACAUUAGCAUCAUAAACAGCAUUUUAGGAGGCGUCUCCUCUACUGAAGAGAAGAGUAUUUUGAAGGAUUUGCCUCCCUCCUUGGUUUAUCUUAAGUUCUGUUGUGUGCGGACAGUUGCAGUAUCUGCUCAUCCACACACCUUUAUUAACCUUGUCCCUCUGAGCAUCUGCUCUAGGGGAAAAGCUUGGCUUUCUGGAACCUGGUAACUUUGCUUGGAGUUAAUGUGCAGCUAGGUGCAUAGGGAAGUAACUAAGGUACCCUUUUAAACACCCGUCUCUCCCCUGUUUUCAUGGGAUUUUACUGUGUUUACCAUUGGAACUUACUGGGGAGAGGGGUCAGUUUUGACCGUUUCUUAGAUAUUGACCUUAAACAGAGAGAAUGAAGAAUCACAAGAUCUGUAUAACCCGUAAGCCUGGGCGAAGGUCUACAGUGAAGUUCACAGGGUCAGAGUCGAUCGUUCGAAUUUAAUAAUCAGUCCUAGGAGUUCCCUUGUGGUGCAGUGGGUUGUAGAUAUAGUGUCGUCAUUGUCAUUGCGGUAGCUUGGGUUGCUGCUGUGGCAUGGGUUUGAUCCCUGGCCCGGGAACUUCCACAUACCAAGGAUGUGGCAAAAAAAAAAAAAAAAAA
This 5810-nucleotide long non-coding RNA is filed under the name Sus scrofa (pig). Its description in RNAcentral is "lncRNA (ENSSSCG00055008201.1)". The record is from RNAcentral. Lineage: Eukaryota; Metazoa; Chordata; Mammalia; Artiodactyla; Suidae.